GACGAACGCUGGCGGCGGGCUUAACACAUGCAAGUCGAACGGAAAGGCCCUGCUUUUGUGGGGUGCUCGAGUGGCGAACGGGUGAGUAACACGUGAGUAACCUGCCCUUGACUUUGGGAUAACUUCAGGAAACUGGGGCUAAUACCGGAUAGGAGCUCCUGCUGCAUGGUGGGGGUUGGAAAGUUUCGGCGGUUGGGGAUGGACUCGCGGCUUAUCAGCUUGUUGGUGGGGUAGUGGCUUACCAAGGCUUUGACGGGUAGCCGGCCUGAGAGGGUGACCGGCCACAUUGGGACUGAGAUACGGCCCAGACUCCUACGUGAGACAGCGGUGGGGAAUCUUACACAAUGGGCGGAAGCCUGAUGCAGCAACGCCGCGUGCGGAAUGACGGCCUUCUGGUUGUAAACCGCUUUCGCCUGUGACGAAGCGUGAGUGACGGUAAUGGGUAAAGAAGCACCGGCUAACUACGUG
RNAcentral lists this ribosomal RNA (468 nucleotides) under uncultured bacterium. RNAcentral's name for it is "partial 16S ribosomal RNA". It matches the Rfam family "Bacterial small subunit ribosomal RNA", at positions 28 to 507 of the family's 1533-position model. The record is from RNAcentral.